Molecule: ribosomal RNA, 374 nt
Filed under: Loxophyllum sp.
Lineage: Eukaryota; Ciliophora; Litostomatea; Pleurostomatida; Litonotidae
Description: partial small subunit ribosomal RNA
Rfam family: Eukaryotic small subunit ribosomal RNA
Source: RNAcentral
AUUCCAGCUCCAAUAGCGUAUAUUAAAGUUGUUGUGGUUAAAAAGCUCGUAGUUGGAUUUCUGCUGAGGACGACUGGUCCGCCCCCUGGGUGAGCAUCUGGUUCGGCCUGGGCAUCUUCUUGGGGAACGUAUCUGCACUUGAUUGUGUGAUGCGGUAUCCAGGACUUUUACUUUGAGAAAAUUAGAGUGUUUCAAGCAGGCAAUUGCAGGAAUACAUUAGCAUGGAAUAACGAAUGGGUCUACAAUUUGGUUGAUUGUAGAUUGCGAUUAAUAGGGACAGUUGGGGGCAUUAGUAUUUAAUUGUCAGAGGUGAAAUUCUUGGAUUAGUUAAAGACUAACGUAUGCGAAAGCAUUUGCCAAGGAUGUUUUCAUUA